RNAcentral lists this ribosomal RNA (238 nucleotides) under uncultured bacterium. RNAcentral describes it as "partial 16S ribosomal RNA". It matches the Rfam family "Bacterial small subunit ribosomal RNA", at positions 334 to 564 of the family's 1533-position model. The record is from RNAcentral.
UUUACCUACGGGAGGCAGCAGUAGGGAAUCUUCCACAAUGGGCGCAAGCCUGAUGGAGCAACCCCGCGUGAGUGAAGAAGGGUUUCGGUUCGUAAAGCUCUGUUGUUGGAGAAGAACGUGCGUGAGAGUAACUGUUCACGCAGUGACGGUAUCCAACUAGAAAGUCACGGCUAACUACGUGCCAGCAGCCGCGGUAAUACGUAGGGGGCAAGCGUUAUCCGGAUUUACUGGGUGUAAA